This 1849-nucleotide long non-coding RNA is filed under the name Nicotiana tabacum (common tobacco). RNAcentral's name for it is "long non-coding RNA (NTAB_LNC017924)". Lineage: Eukaryota; Viridiplantae; Streptophyta; Magnoliopsida; Solanales; Solanaceae. The record is from RNAcentral.
GAUCGUCCGCUUUUGUCCUCUCCAAAAAGAUCAAAAGAAAAACCACAAAAAAAUCAGUGACCAUUGUUUUCAUCAACCGAACGUUACUCCCAAGCUUCAGCCAUUUUCCAAUUAAAGAUGCUCUAUUGAGAUACAAAGAACAAAUGAAUGUGAAAAAUAAAAACCUGAAAUUGACAACAGUGUGCCAAGCUCUAGCAAAUACAUUUAAGCCACACCAAUUCCACUCUCUACUGUUCGUUAAGUACGGUGAUCCUUAAGCCUAAUUGACCUUGGGUAUGAUUGGACCAAUGACUGCAAUUUCAACAAUAUCCAAACCCAGUUGAGUAGGUCCAAGGUCCCGGCGAAAUUUUGAAGAAAAGGUUUUGUACGAUUUUCGGUUAUGUGAAUUCAAGGUUGCUACCUCGUAUCAGCUUCCGGUUUUGUUUAUAUUUAGAAGGAUAAAUUUCUUUUUCUACAUUACAGGUUCGUGUAUCGAUCUAUUUUGUUCCUCCAUGCUCUUGUUAGUUUGUUAAAUGGUGUGAAGUGCUUUAGCUCAUGAAAUGCCUCCGAUGAUGUUUGUUUGCUUCUGUUAUAUAUGAAUCCAUGAAUGUCCUUUUCCUUUUUUUUAAUUACUCUAUUACUGAGUAUGCCUUUGAAGGUAACUCUUCUUUGAUUUCUGUGCCGUCUCUUUCUUUAGUUUGCUUGUAGGUAUUUUCUUGUAUUGAUCCUUUAUUGUAUCAUAUGGAAUUAAGCUCACUAACUUUUCUAAAAUGGAUUAGUUUUGGAAUGGGCAAUAAUCGUAUAAUGUAGAGUGGCCAUGAUUAGAUAGCUCAUUUGGAUCGUAUGGUCACUAACUCUAACCAGUUUAAUUUGAGGCACCGAAUCAAUUUGUGUCGUGUUAGUAAGUCUUCAAUAAUAUCUUGUCCAUAAUCCAUGGCCCUCGCAAAGUUGAAAGCGUAGAGUUGCUUUAGGCGCGUUAUUUUAAUAAUUUACCUUCCUAAACUCGGGUGCGCAUUUAUGUGACCCAAAUCCAAAUCUCAACAACGUUAGAUAAAAUGUGUCGUGAACCGCGGGUGCAUUUAUGUGACGUGGUUCAAGACAUGUUUUAGAUGACGUUGAAUUUUUCCUAAAAUUAAUUAAAUAAAGUGGUUAAGUUAAAAUUGCACCAUAGGAUAAACAUAUACUAAAAUCAGAUAAUAGGCCAAUUAUGACAGUUGAGCGACCGUGCUAAAACCACGGAACUCGGGAAUGCCUAACACCUUCUCCCGGGUUAACAGAAUUUCUUACCCGGAUUUCUGUGUUCGCGGACUGUAAACUUGAUAAUUAUUGAUCAUGUAUAUGUAUUCUCGUAUAUUUGCUUUCUGUGUGUUAUGAUCUGGACUACUAGCCUGUGACAACAUUGGGCGGAUUUUGAUUAUUGUUAUGUGAGUUGUCGGUGCGGUCGAUAUUAUUAGCGCAUAAGUUGUCUAUGUAGCACGUGAGUUGUCCGUGCGGAUCCAGAUAUUGAUAUUGUUAGCACGUGAGUUAUACAUGCAUCACGUGAGUUGUCUGUGUGGUUGAUAUUAUUAGCAUGUGAGUUGUCCGUGCAACGUGUGGAUAUAGAUCCACCCCCUAGGGCUACGCUUUCAUGUUUAUCUCUUGAUGGUGUACAUGCAGAUAAUGAGGAAAACUGAUUACGGAUACGUAAAGGUUGAGGAAAGUCAGGCCAGUGUUUGGUUGGAUUUGCAUUUCAUCUUACUUGCAAUUUCCAUGGUUAAUUACUCGAUUUAUGUGCAAAUCACCUUUAUAUGUUGUAUCAUUGACUGAACAGAGAACUUGAGUAAUUGUACACACCCACACAGAUAGUUGUUGUUGUGCUUUACGACCUGAU